This 492-nucleotide ribosomal RNA is filed under the name uncultured bacterium. Its description in RNAcentral is "partial 16S ribosomal RNA". It matches the Rfam family "Bacterial small subunit ribosomal RNA", at positions 29 to 507 of the family's 1533-position model. The record is from RNAcentral.
AGUGAACGCUGGCGGUAGGCCUAACACAUGCAAGUCGAACGGCAGCACAGUAAGAGCUUGCUCUUACGGGUGGCGAGUGGCGGACGGGUGAGGAAUACAUCGGAAUCUACUUUUUUGUGGGGGAUAACGUAGGGAAACUUACGCUAAUACCGCAUACGACCUACGGGUGAAAGCAGGGGAUCUUCGGACCUUGCGCGAUUGAAUGAGCCGAUGUCGGAUUAGCUAGUUGGCGGGGUAAAGGCCCACCAAGGCGACGAUCCGUAGCUGGUCUGAGAGGAUGAUCAGCCACACUGGAACUGAGACACGGUCCAGACUCCUACGGGAGGCAGCAGUGGGGAAUAUUGGACAAUGGGCGCAAGCCUGAUCCAGCCAUACCGCGUGGGUGAAGAAGGCCUUCGGGUUGUAAAGCCCUUUUGUUGGGAAAGAAAAGCAGCAGGUUAAUACCCCGCUGCUCUGACGGUACCCAAAGAAUAAGCACCGGCUAACUUCGUG